AUUGAACGCUGGCGGCAGGCCUAACACAUGCAAGUCGAGCGAGCGGCGGACGGGUGAGUAAUGUAUGGGGACUGCCCGAUAGAGGGGGAUAACUACUGGAAACGGUAGCUAAUACCGCAUACUAUCGGAUAACCCAUAUGGGAUUAGCUAGUAGGUGAGGUAAUGGCUCACCUAGGCGACGAGCCCUCGCUGGGCUGAGAGGAUGAUCAGCCACACUGGGACUGAGACGGGGCCCAGACUCCUACGGAGGCAGCAGAGGGGAAUAUGGCACAGUGGGCGCAAGCCUGAGGCAGCCAUGCCGCGUGUAUGAAGGAGGCCCUAGGGGUGGAAAGUACUUUCAGUCGGGAGGCGUUACCGACAGAAGAAGCACCGGCUAACUCCGUGCCAGCCGCCGCGGUAAUUC
RNAcentral lists this ribosomal RNA (403 nucleotides) under uncultured bacterium. RNAcentral's name for it is "partial 16S ribosomal RNA". It matches the Rfam family "Bacterial small subunit ribosomal RNA", at positions 29 to 526 of the family's 1533-position model. The record is from RNAcentral.